This 1234-nucleotide long non-coding RNA is filed under the name Anas platyrhynchos platyrhynchos (common mallard). RNAcentral describes it as "lncRNA (ENSAPLG00000025241.1)". The record is from RNAcentral. Lineage: Eukaryota; Metazoa; Chordata; Aves; Anseriformes; Anatidae.
UUGUUGAAACAGUGUAGUACUAGCAGGGCAUUACAUAAAUAUGAAGUAAGUAGUUCUCCUAAACUUAGUAUAUCUUGAAAGAGAAUAUUAAACUGAUGAAUGUGAAUUCCCAGCUAAAACGUGAACCAUUUCUCACUUGAGCUGAUGAAGUUCAGUUUCUUUGUCAUUUCAACACAGCAGGAAAGAAAUGUAAUUUCAGAAGAGAUGUAUAAAUUCACAGUAGAGGAAAAUAAGUACGCAGUUCCACGCACGGUCUGCCUCUCUAUGUACUCAGUGAAAUUUGUUCCAAAUACAGUCUAACAAACAAACAACUUUUCUUGCUUUCUGCAAUCUGUGCAGUGGAAGAUCUGGCUUCCACAUGUUCCUACACCACAGUAAACCAGGAAAAGUUGUAUUAUUAUUUUUUUUAUUUUACUUUUAAGGGACAAACAAAAGCCACAUUCCAUAAAAAGUGUUUUAGAAAUCAAGACAUAUCAAAUCCUGUUAUGGUCUCUGCCUAUUGCAGGAAGACUGAAAAGAUGAAUUAAAACUGACAUCCAGUUCUGCAGAGGUUCCUAUUCCCUGGAAAGAGCUGGAUAACCUGGAGUUUGGCACUUGUGACUCACCCAUGAGAUGAUGGAGAGGGAGGUAUUUCACAUGGUAUGCAUAGAAACCACCCUUCUAGGCCAGCUGAAAAGGAACAGAGAUCAUAGCCUAAAACCAUACUGCUGUAAGUGGGUACUUUACACCACCCACUGUGAGAGCAGCCUAGAAAGUCUUACUGGCAGAAACAGUGAAAUUUCUCUGAAGACUAGACGUCCACAAGGAAGCCACGUAAGUCAAACUAAACAAACAAGAGUAAAACUGGAUACUGAAUGAGAUGGCUCUGUCUUCUAUAUAUGUCACAUUUUAAAACAGCCAUAUUUUGGACAUUCUUUAGAGAGCUCAAAAUAUGUUUUAUAGGCUUUUGUUCUCUGUGCUUCUUUUGUGAACUCCUGUACCAGUGAAAUAUGUGAACAGUCUUCAGAAAUAGAAAAACGUGUACAGCUGACAUAAAUGUCUCGUCCUUUCCAGAUUGCACACUGGUCAUUAGAAUCUCUGUUGUGCUUUAGAACUAUUGAGAUCACAAGAGAGAUCAUGGAUAGGCUCAGAGUAAAUGGAUGAGAACCAGACCAGGAUACAACAAAUUCCUAGCACUAAAAGCAAUGGUCUGUUGGAUCUUAAACCUGUAAUAAACCAAGGGCCAACUAUUGCA